RNAcentral lists this ribosomal RNA (325 nucleotides) under uncultured eukaryote. RNAcentral describes it as "partial 18S ribosomal RNA". It matches the Rfam family "Eukaryotic small subunit ribosomal RNA", at positions 1470 to 1796 of the family's 1831-position model. The record is from RNAcentral.
CCCUUAGAUGUCCUGGGCCGCACGCGCGUUACACUGAUGCAUUCAACGAGCUUAUAACCUUGGCCGAGAGGCCUGGGCAAUCUUGUUAACGUGCAUCGUGAUAGGGAUAGAUUAUUGAAAUUAUUAAUCUUGAACGAGGAAUUCCUAGUAAACGCAGAUCAUCAAUCUGCAUUGAUUACGUCCCUACCCUUUGUACACACCGCCCGUCGCUCCUACCGAUUGAAUGCUCAGGUGAGCCAUUCGGACUUUCAUCAUGCUGGUUUCCAGUUUUGAUGAAGGAAAGUCUUGCGAACCUUAUCAUUUAGAGGAAGGAGAAGUCGUAACA